AAGAGGCGUGAUGAUGCAAAUCCAUAUUUAUAUCUGUACCAAUUCAUGAUGAUUGAACGAUCAUGCACUACCAUCUGAUCUCUU
This is a non-coding RNA of Daucus carota subsp. sativus, 84 nucleotides long. The record is from Rfam. Lineage: Eukaryota; Viridiplantae; Streptophyta; Magnoliopsida; Apiales; Apiaceae.